This 938-nucleotide ribosomal RNA is filed under the name Campylobacter jejuni. RNAcentral's name for it is "partial 23S ribosomal RNA". It matches the Rfam family "Bacterial large subunit ribosomal RNA", at positions 1 to 956 of the family's 2925-position model. The record is from RNAcentral. Lineage: Bacteria; Pseudomonadati; Campylobacterota; Epsilonproteobacteria; Campylobacterales; Campylobacteraceae.
AAAGGUAAGCUACUAAGAGCGAAUGGUGGAUGCCUUGACUGGUAAAGGCGAUGAAGGACGUACUAGACUGCGAUAAGCUACGGGGAGCUGUCAAGAAGCUUUGAUCCGUAGAUUUCCGAAUGGGGCAACCCAAUGUAUAGAGAUAUACAUUACCUAUAUAGGAGCGAACGAGGGGAAUUGAAACAUCUUAGUACCCUCAGGAAAAGAAAUCAAUAGAGAUUGCGUCAGUAGCGGCGAGCGAAAGCGCAAGAGGGCAAACCCAGUGCUUGCACUGGGGGUUGUAGGACUGCAAUGUGCAAGAGCUGAGUUUAGCAGAACAUUCUGGAAAGUAUAGCCAUAGAGGGUGAUAGUCCCGUAUGCGAAAAACAAAGCUUAGCUAGCAGUAUCCUGAGUAGGGCGGGACACGAGAAAUCCUGUCUGAAUCCGGGUCGACCACGAUCCAACCCUAAAUACUAAUACCAGAUCGAUAGUGCACAAGUACCGUGAGGGAAAGGUGAAAAGAACUGAGGUGAUCAGAGUGAAAUAGAACCUGAAACCAUUUGCUUACAAUCAUUCAGAGCCCUAUGUAGCAAUACAGGGUGAUGGACUGCCUUUUGCAUAAUGAGCCUGCGAGUUGUGGUGUCUGGCAAGGUUAAGCAAACGCGAAGCCGUAGCGAAAGCGAGUCUGAAUAGGGCGCUUAGUCAGAUGCUGCAGACCCGAAACGAAGUGAUCUAUCCAUGAGCAAGUUGAAGCUAGUGUAAGAACUAGUGGAGGACUGAACCCAUAGGCGUUGAAAAGCCCCGGGAUGACUUGUGGAUAGGGGUGAAAGGCCAAUCAAACUUCGUGAUAGCUGGUUCUCUCCGAAAUAUAUUUAGGUAUAGCGUUGUGUCGUAAUAUAAGGGGGUAGAGCACUGAAUGGGCUAGGGCAUACACCAAUGUACCAAACCCUAUCAAACUC